GACGAACGCUGGCGGCGUGCUUAACACAUGCAAGUCGAACGGAAAGGCCUGCUUUCCCUUGUGGAUUGCGGGUACUCGAGUGGCGAACGGGUGAGUAACACGUGAGUGAUCUGCCCCCAACUUGGGUAUAAGACUGGGAAACUGGGUCUACUUCACGAUAGGACUGCAGGGUGGUGCCUGUGGUGGAAAACGAUUUUCUAGUGGUUGGGGAUGAGCUCGCGGCGUAUCAGCUUGGUGGUGGGGUAAUGGCCUACCAAGGUGGCGACGGGUAGCCGGCCGGUGAGGGGGGACGGCGACAUUGGGACUGGGAUACGGCCCAGACGCCUACGGGAGGCAGCAGUUGGGGAUAAUGGACAGUGGGCGGAAGCCUGAUGCAGCGACGCCGCGUGGGGGAUGACGGCCUUCGGGUUGUAAACUCCUUUCGACCGCGAGGAAGCCACCUGGUUGGAAGGGUGGUGACGGUAGUGGUAGAAGAAGCACCGGCUAACUACGUG
RNAcentral lists this ribosomal RNA (494 nucleotides) under uncultured bacterium. RNAcentral describes it as "partial 16S ribosomal RNA". It matches the Rfam family "Bacterial small subunit ribosomal RNA", at positions 28 to 507 of the family's 1533-position model. The record is from RNAcentral.